Molecule: ribosomal RNA, 301 nt
Filed under: uncultured bacterium
Lineage: Bacteria
Description: partial 16S ribosomal RNA
Rfam family: Bacterial small subunit ribosomal RNA
Source: RNAcentral
CAGAGCCGCGGUAGUACGUAGGUGGCAAGCGUUGUCCGGAAUUAUUGGGCGUAAAGGGCUCGCAGGCGGUUUCUUAAGUCUGAUGUGAAAGCCCCCGGCUCAACCGGGGAGGGUCAUUGGAAACUGGGAAACUUGAGUGCAGAAGAGGAGAGUGGAAUUCCACGUGUAGCGGUGAAAUGCGUAGAGAUGUGGAGGAACACCAGUGGCGAAGGCGACUCUCUGGUCUGUAACCGACGCUGAGGAGCGAAAGCGUGGGGAGCGAACAGGAUUAGAUACCCGUGUAGUCCCUGUCUCUUAUACA